Molecule: ribosomal RNA, 253 nt
Filed under: uncultured bacterium
Lineage: Bacteria
Description: partial 16S ribosomal RNA
Rfam family: Bacterial small subunit ribosomal RNA
Source: RNAcentral
UACGUAGGUGGCAAGCGUUGUCCGGAAUUAUUGGGCGUAAAGCGCACGUAGGCGGCUUCUUAAGUCGGUGGUGAAAUCCUGGAGCUCAACUCCAGAACUGCCUUCGAUACUGGGAAGCUCGAGUCCGGGAGAGGUGAGUGGAACUGCGAGUGUAGAGGUGAAAUUCGUAGAUAUUCGCAAGAACACCAGUGGCGAAGGCGGCUCACUGGCCCGGUACUGACGCUGAGACGCGAAAGCGUGGGGAGCGAACAGG